UUGGAGGGCAAGUCUGGUGCCAGCAGCCGCGGUAAUUCCAGCUCCAAUAGCGUAUAUUAAAGUUGUUGCAGUUAAAAAGCUCGUAGUUGAAUUUCGGGAUUCGUCCAUUGGUCAGGCUUAACUGUCUGUACUGGUGUGUCGGAUUUCUACCUUCUGAAGAACCUUCAUGCCAUUAAUUUGGUGUGUUGGGGAAUCAGGACUGUUACUUUGAAAAAAUUAGAGUGUUUAAAGCAGGCUAACGUCUGAAUACAUUAGCAUGGAAUAAUGAAAUAGGACGGUACGGUUCUAUUUUGUUGGUUUCUAGGAUCGCCGUAAUGAUUAAUAGGGAUAGUUGGGGGCAUUAGUAUUCAAUUGUCAGAGGUGAAAUUCUUGGAUUUAUUGAAGACUAACUACUGCGAAAGCAUUUGCCAAGGAUGUUUUCAUUAAUCAAGAACGAAAGUUAGGGGAUCGAAGACGAUCAGAUACCGUCGUAGUCUUAACCAUAAACUAUGCCGACUAGGGAUUGGACGAUGUUAAUUUUUUAAUGACUCGUUCAGCACCUUACGGGAAACCAAAGUGUUUGGGUUC
This 567-nucleotide ribosomal RNA is filed under the name uncultured Glomeromycotina. RNAcentral describes it as "SSU rRNA". It matches the Rfam family "Eukaryotic small subunit ribosomal RNA", at positions 548 to 1114 of the family's 1831-position model. The record is from RNAcentral. Lineage: Eukaryota; Fungi; Glomeromycota.